This 163-nucleotide unclassified non-coding RNA is filed under the name soil metagenome. RNAcentral's name for it is "partial contains 5.8S ribosomal RNA, internal transcribed spacer 2, and large subunit ribosomal RNA". The record is from RNAcentral.
AAGACUAUAGACCUGCGGAGUACCUGCGGAGGGAUCAUUAUAAGAUUCUAAACAGUUCUAGCCCGUAAAAAGGCUAUGAGCUAAUUCUUAUUUAACCCAAAACUUUUUGUCUGAAUAUAUUAAUUUUCGAAUGAAAAAUGAAAACUUUCAACAAUGGAUCUCU